CCCAAGGCCGCCGCUGCAUCCUGA
RNAcentral lists this non-coding RNA (24 nucleotides) under Arabidopsis thaliana (thale cress). Lineage: Eukaryota; Viridiplantae; Streptophyta; Magnoliopsida; Brassicales; Brassicaceae. The record is from RNAcentral.